UAACGUUGUCAUAAUGCGAAUAUAUUAUUGUAUAAAUAAUGGAAGCUUUUACACCGGGACGACGGGACGCGGCGACGGAGAAAUGAGCCGCCGUCGCCGUAUUUUCCGCGCUCGUGCCGAGAGCAUUAUCUCUCGCACGCACACACUCGGUGUAAAGUACUGCCGCCACGGUUAAGUACGCAUUCUCGAGCACGCGGUGUACGCCGCGGAGACGGCGGGAGAAAAUACGGGAGACUUGUCACCCUCCGGCCUCGCGGGCCGUGCGCGGCAGCCGCCGUCGAACGGAUGACGAUUUCCGACGGUGUGCCUACGUAGCACGUAUAUAGUCGAUUGCGGGGGAACGAACAGG
Molecule: non-coding RNA, 349 nt
Organism: Cinara cedri
Lineage: Eukaryota; Metazoa; Arthropoda; Insecta; Hemiptera; Aphididae
Source: the annotation of a GenBank genome assembly